AUGAAGACUCCCAUUGAAGUUCUCCUUAAUGAACAACCGGACUACACCUUUCUCAAGGUGUUUGGGUGUGCUUGCUGGCCCCAUCUCCGUCCAUAUAACAAGCGUAAGCUCGAGUUUCGUUCCAAGAAGUGUGUUUUUCUUGGUUAUAGCUCUCUUCAUAAAGGAUACAAAUGUCUUCAUGUGCCCACUAAUCGUGUCUACAUCUCUCGGGAUGUUGUGUUUGAUGAGCAUGUUUUUCCCUUUGCCAAACUCCCUGUGUCCACUACCGAGCCACCUGUCAUGCAUUCAUCCUCUGUUGCUUCUGACCAAUUUGAUGAUGUUGCAUAUUCUCCUCUAUUGUUGCCUAACCAUGGUGCAGGCACUGGUCGUGGGGCUCGUUUGGAGAUUCUGGAAGUGCCAUCUUCCUCUUCGUCGCCAUCGCCUUCAUCCUCGGCACCUUCUGUUGUGCAUGAGGAGCACAUGGCGCCCCUGCAUGGCCUCGGUUUCCGUGCUCAUGCACGGCCGAUCGACGUCCUGGCCCGGUCGCCUCUAGCUUCUGGGCUGCCUUCGCCAUCGUCGCGCCCUGCAACCCCGCCGACUGGGCCGGCCUCCUCGGUCCCCGCCUCGCCCAGGGCGUCGGGGCAGUCAUCACCAGGCCUGGCCUCGCCCGCCCCUGCCUCGCCCAGGGUGUCUGGGCCCUUCUCACCAGGGCCGGCCUCGCCUGCUCUCGCCUCACCAAGGCCGUCUGGGCCGGUGUCACCGGAGCUGGCCUCGCCCACUCUCGGUUCGCCCAUGGCCUCUGAGCCCCUGUCGUCGGGCCAGUCUUCGCCAUGCAGCCCGGAGUCGUCUGUCCCGAGCUCGCCUGAGGUGAUUCCUGCAUCUCCGGCGACCGUCACGUCUCCGUCACCUUCGCCUCCGCCGGCUCCUGCUGCUGCUCUACGUCCACAUACGCGCAGUCGGAGUGGCAUUUUUCAGCCUAAGCAACGUCACGAUGGCACAGUUGCUUGGUUAGCGGCGUGCAUGUCUGCUGCUCUCGCAGAUCCAUCCUCUGAGCCACGCACGUAUCAAGCUGCUAUGCGCAUUCCUCAUUGGAGAGAGGCCAUGGAGCAGGAGUAUCAAGCGCUUCUUCGCAAUCAGACAUGGACUCUUGUUCCUCCACAAUCACGGGUAAAUGUCAUUGAUUCCAAAUGGGUUUUCAAAGUGAAGAGGCAUUCUGAUGGGUCCAUUGAGCGCUAUAAGGCUCGUCUGGUUGCUCGUGGUUUUCGACAGCGUUUUGGACUUGACUAUGAAGACACCUUCAGUCCAGUGGUCAAGCCUACUACCAUCAGACUUCUUCUCUCUCUGGCUGUUACUCGAGGUUGGUUUCUUCGUCAGCUUGAUGUUCAAAAUGCUUUUCUUCAUGGUGUCUUGGCGGAGGAGGUUUACAUGCGCCAGCCUCCGGGUUUCUCUGAUCCGGAUCGCCCUGAUCAUCUCUGUCGUCUGUCCAAGACAAUUUAUGGUCUGAAGCAGGCUCCUCGUGCUUGGCAUGCUCGUCUUGCAAUGGCUCUUCGUGCUCAUGGUUUUGCAUCAUCAACUGCUGACUCCUCAUUGUUUCUUCUUCAAAGGCCUGAGGUUACUAUGUACUUGUUGGUCUAUGUAGAUGAUAUCAUUUUGGUCAGCUCCUCUCAGUCGGCUGCUACUGCGCUUGUUCGCUCACUUGGUGCUGAUUUUGCGGUCAAGGACCUUGGGAAGCUUCAUUACUUUCUUGGUGUGGAGGUUACUUCUCGUGAUGCUGGCCUUGUUAUGACGCAGAAGAAGUACUCUCUGGAUUUGUUGCAGCGAGCUGGGAUGCUUAAGUGCAAACCGACGACUACACCCAUGUCUACCACUGAUAAGCUCAAUGCUGUUGAUGGUGUGCUUCUUUCUUCUUCUGAUGCGACAGAGUACAGGAGUAUUGUUGGUGGGCUCCAGUACUUGACGAUCACGCGACCAGACAUUUCCUAUGCUGUUAACCGAGUCUGCCAGUAUCUGCAGUCACCCCGUGACACUCAUUGGUCUGCUGUUAAGCGGAUUUUGCGCUAUAUUCGUUUCACGGUGGCUCAUGGUUUGCAUAUUCAGCCGUCUGACUCUGGUUGUCUUUCAGCAUAUUCUGAUGCAGACUGGGCUGGCAAUCCGGAUGACAGGCGAUCCACGGGGGGUUAUGCUGUCUUCUUUGGCUCUAACCUGAUUUCCUGGAGUGCUCGGAAACAGGCUACUGUCUCGCGUAGCAGUACUGAGGCUGAGUAUAAGGCUGUGGCCAAUGCCACAUCAGAGAUCAUCUGGGUACAGUCCUUGCUUCAGGAGUUAAGUAUACCCCAAUCACAGCCUCCUGUUCUUUGGUGUGAUAACAUCGGUGCUACAUACCUUUCUGCAAAUCCGGUAUUCCAUGCCCGAACGAAACACAUUGAAGUUGACUAUCACUUUGUGCGUGAACGUGUCUCUCAGAAGCAACUACAGAUCAAGUUUAUUUCUUCCAAGGAUCAACUUGCUGAUAUCUUCACCAAGCCAUUGCCUUUGCCACAGUUUGAGACUUGCAGGCGCAAUCUUACCCUUCUAGAUUCAUUAGAAAGUGGCUAA
Molecule: ribosomal RNA, 2574 nt
Filed under: Triticum aestivum (bread wheat)
Lineage: Eukaryota; Viridiplantae; Streptophyta; Magnoliopsida; Poales; Poaceae
Description: partial small subunit ribosomal RNA
Source: RNAcentral